UUUCCGUAGGUGAACCUGCGGAGGGAUCAUUACCGAGUGAAGGACCUCUGGGUCCAAACUCCCACCCGUGUUUAUCGUACCUUGUUGCUUCGGCGGGCCCGCCUCACGGCCGCCGGGGGGCACCCGCCCCCGGGCCCGCGCCCGCCGAAGACACCAUUUAACGCUGUAUGAAGAUUGCAGUCUGAGCAUCUUAGCUAAAUCAGUUAAAACUUUCAACAACGGAUCUCUUGGUUCCG
RNAcentral lists this unclassified non-coding RNA (236 nucleotides) under plant metagenome. RNAcentral's name for it is "partial contains small subunit ribosomal RNA, internal transcribed spacer 1, and 5.8S ribosomal RNA". The record is from RNAcentral.